Long non-coding RNA from Heterocephalus glaber (naked mole-rat), 633 nucleotides. NCBI's taxonomy places the organism in Eukaryota, Metazoa, Chordata, Mammalia, Rodentia, Bathyergidae. The record is from Ensembl.
CUUCCGGGAGCGGCAGUGGACCCUGUGGCUCCAGGAGGCCCAGCUGGAGGUGGCGUGGAGGCGACAUUGGAAGGCCCUGCUGGCCCAGAGCUUCCGAGAGUGGAGACUCCUGGCGCAGCAGCAGAAACAAGGGCAGCUCCGUAUCCAGGCUGAGCUUGGACCUUGCACUUCCUGGGAGCCAAGGACCAAAUCCCUGCUGGGGAAGAGCGGCAGCGGGGUGCCCCCCACCCCGGGCAGCAGGGCAGGGAGCCAGAAGGAGGAGGAAGGAGCCUGGCCUCCUCCAUCACAGCCUAGGCAGAGACUGCACAGUGGAGAUGAUGAAGACGGGAGAGUCCAGACCCUGCAGGUCCUGCAGCAGCUGGCAGGUGCUUCAGGACCUGGCAGCAGGUCGUGCAGAGGGGCCCAGUGCCAGGGCCACCUGGCUGAAUGUCCUGUGAGGAUCCUGAGGAGGUGCCUGGGACAGUGGGUGCGUGCGGAUGAGGCAACUCCGAGCCUCAGAGGAGGCGAAGGUGACCCAGCUGUCCCUCUGGCGGCAGAGGAGGGGGACCUGGCCCUCUGGAGCUCAGCCCACGACGUGGAGACAGUGGCCUGGGUGUCCCUGCAUGGUGCCUGCUGGAGACUGGCCCUCCGCCG